UAGCAUAAUCAUUUGUCUUUUAAUUGAGGGCGGGAAUGAAAGAGUUGACGAGGCCCCUAUUUUCUUGGUUAAACAGUGGAAUUUGAUAUUUGCAUCAAAAAGUGCAACUUUCUGGGGGGACGAUAAGACCCUAUGAAACUUUAAUUUAAUUCAUUUUAAUGUAUUUGGGAUAUUUGAAAUUUAUUAAAUUAGGCUGGGGCGGCAGCUAAAAGACAUUAGUAAAGGUAACAGGACCACUGGGUUUAAAGAUCUCAUAAAAAAGUGGAAUAAGUUACUUUAGGGAUAACAGCACAAUUUUUUUAUAUAGAUCGCAUAGAAUAAAAAGACUUGUGACCUCGAUGUUGAAUUGGGGGGCCCCACUAAAGCAGAAAUUAGUGAGGGGGAUCUGUUCGAUCUUUAUUUCCCC
Molecule: ribosomal RNA, 406 nt
Filed under: Chelator vulgaris
Lineage: Eukaryota; Metazoa; Arthropoda; Malacostraca; Isopoda; Desmosomatidae
Description: partial large subunit ribosomal RNA
Rfam family: Archaeal large subunit ribosomal RNA
Source: RNAcentral